CCUACGGGAGGCAGCAGUGAGGAAUAUAGGACAAUGAGGGGGAGGCUGAACCAGCCAAGUAGCGUGAAGGAUGACUGCCCUACGGGUUGUAAACUUCUUAUAUAAAGGAAUAAAGUGAGGCACGUGUGCCUUUUUGUAUGUACUUUAUGAAUAAGGAUCGGCUAACUCCGUGCCAGCAGCCGCGGUAAUACGGAGGAUCCGAGCGUUAUCCGGAUUUAUUGGGGUUAAAGGGAGCGUAGAUGGGUUGUUAAGUCAGUUGUGAAAGUUUGCGGCUCAACCGUAAAAUUGCAAUUGAUACUGGCAGUCUUGAGUACAGUUGAGGUAGGCGGAAUUCGUGGUGUAGCGGUGAAAUGCUUAGAUAUCACGAAGAACUCCGAUUGCGAAGGCAGCUUACUAAACUGCCACUGACAUUGAUGCUCGAAAGUGUGGGUAUCAAACAGGAUUAGAUACCCUGGUAGUC
Molecule: ribosomal RNA, 460 nt
Filed under: uncultured bacterium
Lineage: Bacteria
Description: partial 16S ribosomal RNA
Rfam family: Bacterial small subunit ribosomal RNA
Source: RNAcentral